This 253-nucleotide ribosomal RNA is filed under the name uncultured bacterium. Its description in RNAcentral is "partial 16S ribosomal RNA". It matches the Rfam family "Bacterial small subunit ribosomal RNA", at positions 524 to 776 of the family's 1533-position model. The record is from RNAcentral.
UACGGAGGGGACUAGCGUUGUUCGGAAUUACUGGGCGUAAAGCGCACGUAGGCGGAUUUGUAAGUCAGGGGUGAAAUCCCGGGGCUCAACCUCGGAACUGCCUUUGAUACUGCAAAUCUCGAGUCCGGAAGAGGUGAGUGGAAUUCCUAGUGUAGAGGUGAAAUUCGUAGAUAUUAGGAAGAACACCAGUGGCGAAGGCGAAUCCCUGGAAAAUACCUGACACUGAGGCACGAAAGCUAGGGGAGCAAACAGG